This 595-nucleotide ribosomal RNA is filed under the name Listeria monocytogenes. RNAcentral's name for it is "partial 23S ribosomal RNA". It matches the Rfam family "Bacterial large subunit ribosomal RNA", at positions 1419 to 2010 of the family's 2925-position model. The record is from RNAcentral. Lineage: Bacteria; Bacillati; Bacillota; Bacilli; Caryophanales; Listeriaceae.
UGGACAACAGGUAGAGAUUCCUGUACCAGUGCUAAUUGUUUAACCGAUGGGGUGACACAGAAGGAUAGGGAAUCGCACGAAUGGAAAUGUGCGUCCAAGCAGUGAGUGUGAGAAGUAGGCAAAUCCGCUUCUCGCGAAGCAUGAGCUGUGAUGGGGAAGGAAAUUAAGUACGGAAGUUCCUGAUUUCACGCUGUCAAGAAAAGCCUCUAGGAAGAGUAGUACUGCCCGUACCGCAAACCGACACAGGUAGAUGAGGAGAGAAUCCUAAGGUGAGCGAGAGAACUCUCGUUAAGGAACUCGGCAAAAUGACCCCGUAACUUCGGGAGAAGGGGUGCUCUAUUAGGGUGCAAGCCCGAGAGAGCCGCAGUGAAUAGGCCCAGGCGACUGUUUAGCAAAAACACAGGUCUCUGCAAAACCGUAAGGUGACGUAUAGGGGCUGACGCCUGCCCGGUGCUGGAAGGUUAAGAGGAGUGCUUAGCUUCGGCGAAGGUACGAAUUGAAGCCCCAGUAAACGGCGGCCGUAACUAUAACGGUCCUAAGGUAGCGAAAUUCCUUGUCGGGUAAGUUCCGACCCGCACGAAAGGCGCAACGAUCU